Malaclemys terrapin pileata is the source of this 699-nucleotide long non-coding RNA. RefSeq lists it as uncharacterized. The transcript is spliced from 3 exons. The record is from RefSeq and is a predicted model, not a curated record. Lineage: Eukaryota; Metazoa; Chordata; Testudines; Emydidae.
GAAGCUGACCUACAGUUUAGCCGCCUGGGAGACAGUCAGGAUAGCAGAGUUGUCCGUGGGAACGGAUGAGAUAGGAAGUGUUGGGAGAUGUGAUAGGAAAUUGAAUUGGACAUGUUUACAUACUGCUUAAUUAUCAGAAGGACUUCAAUGAAUCUGAAGGAAAAACUUCACUGGAGAGAAUGGGUUAUAUAAAAUUAUCUGGAAAGAGUAAAUUUGCCCAGGGUCCUAUUCUGUUCUUUCCUAUCAGAGUUUCUCUUAGUCUUAUCAUGAAGAUGACAAAAUUUAGAUUAUUCUCCUUUCUCCAAGGUUUCAUUUGUCUUUUCUUAACCUGGACUUUUGUUAUACCUGAAUCUUGCAGGAAAUGACAUACGUUGUCUCCUGUGUUAUCAGGAAACAGCACUUCUCGGUUCCAUUUAACGAGCAUAACGACAUCUUCCUUCACUGUUUUCUAGCUAGGACAGGACAUUUCUACACAGCGUGCAAAGACUGAUGACGACACCAUGGCAGCCUGGAAAGAUAAAUUUGUGUCGCCACUGUACCUGCAGAUAUGGCAGUUUGAAGCUCUCUCCAGAACAUAACAAUCAAAUGUUUCCUUGUGAGCUCAAGAACCCAGAGUUAAAGACGACUGAUUCCUGGAAGAAGGGGACAACCUGAAGGAUUGUGUGAUGGUUCUGCUCUAGUCUGUACAGCAAAACUAAG